Molecule: ribosomal RNA, 987 nt
Filed under: human gut metagenome
Description: bacterial LSU rRNA
Rfam family: Bacterial large subunit ribosomal RNA
Source: RNAcentral
AUAACGGUCCUAAGGUAGCGAAAUUCCUUGUCGGGUAAGUUCCGACCCGCACGAAUGGUGUAACGAUCUGGGCACUGUCUCAACUACCCACCCGGCGAAAUUGUAGUACCGGUGAAGAUGCCGGUUACCUGCGGCAAGACGGAAAGACCCCAUGGAGCUUUACUGUAGCCUGAUAUUGGGUUUCGGAAAUCUAUGUACAGGAUAGGCGGGAGACUAGGAAACAUGAGCGUCAGCUUGUGUGGAGUCGAUGUUGGGAUACCGCCCUUAGGUUUCUGGAAUUCUAACCUGCGGCCGUGAAUCCGGUCGGGGGACAUUGUCAGGUGGGCAGUUUGACUGGGGCGGUCGCCUCCGAAAAGGUAACGGAGGCGCUCAAAGGUUAGCUCAGCACGGACGGAAACCGUGCCUCUGAGUGUAAACGCAAAAGCUAGCCUAACUGCGAGGGUGACGGCCCGAGCAGUAACGAAAGUUGGAGUUAGUGAUCCGGCGGUAUGUGAAUGGAAAUGCCGUCGCUCAACGGAUAAAAGCUACCCUGGGGAUAACAGGCUGAUCUCCCCCAAGAGUCCACAUCGACGGGGAGGUUUGGCACCUCGAUGUCGGCUCAUCGCAUCCUGGGGCUGUAUUCGGUCCCAAGGGUUUGGCUGUUCGCCAAUUAAAGCGGUACGCGAGCUGGGUUCAGAACGUCGUGAGACAGUUCGGUCCCUAUCUGUCGUGGGCGCAGGAUAUUUGAGGAGUGCUGUCCCUAGUACGAGAGGACCGGGAUGGACGCACCUCUGGUGCACCAGUUGUCACGCCAGUGGCACAGCUGGGCAGCUAUGUGCGGAACGGAUAAACGCUGAAGGCAUCUAAGCGUGAAGCCGCCCUUAAGAUAAGAUAUCCUUUCUGUUUACAGAGUAAGACCCCUUGAAGACUACAAGGUUGAUAGGCUCAAAGUGUAAGCACGGUGACGUGUUUAGCUAGCGAGUACUAAUCGGUCGAGGGCUUAACCUU